CGCCUCUUGACUAAAUAUAAGAGGUCCAGCCUGCCCAGUGACAUAGUUUAACGGCCGCGGUACCCUAACCGUGCGAAGGUAGCAUAAUCACUUGUUCUUUAAAUAGGGACUCGUAUCAACGGCAUCACGAGGGCUGUACUGUCUCCUUUCUCCAAUCAGUGAAACUGAUCUCCCCGUGAAGAAGCGGGGAUAAACCUAUAAGACGAGAAGACCCCAUGGAGCUUUAAACCCACCACACACCUUUACACACUCAAAUCAACAUAGCCAAAAAGGCUUGUGUGUUGGUUUUAGGUUGGGGGGACCGCGGAGUAAAAUCAAACCUCCACGACAGACGGGCUAACACCCUUAUCCACGAACCACAAUUCUAAGAGCCAAUAAACUGUUGUCUAAUGACCCAAUUAUUUGAUCAACGAACCAAGUUACCCUGGGGAUAACAGCGCAAUCUACUUCAAGAGUCCAUAUCGACAAGUAGGUUUACGACCUCGAUGUUGGAUCAGGGUAUCCUAGUGGUGCAGCCGCUACUAAAGGUUCGUUUGUUCAACGAUUAAAACCCU
This 554-nucleotide ribosomal RNA is filed under the name Amolops chunganensis (Chungan torrent frog). RNAcentral describes it as "partial 16S ribosomal RNA". It matches the Rfam family "Bacterial large subunit ribosomal RNA", at positions 1829 to 2597 of the family's 2925-position model. Lineage: Eukaryota; Metazoa; Chordata; Amphibia; Anura; Ranidae. The record is from RNAcentral.